CGGAAGAUGUAACGGGGCUAAACCAUGCACCGAAGCUGCGGCAGCGACACUAUGUGUUGUUGGGUAGGGGAGCGUUCUGUAAGCCUGUGAAGGUGGCCUGUGAGGGUUGCUGGAGGUAUCAGAAGUGCGAAUGCUGACAUAAGUAACGAUAAAGCGGGUGAAAAGCCCGCUCGCCGGAAGACCAAGGGUUCCUGUCCAACGUUAAUCGGGGCAGGGUGAGUCGACCCCUAAGGCGAGGCCGAAAGGCGUAGUCGAUGGGAAACAGGUUAAUAUUCCUGUACUUGGUGUUACUGCGAAGGGGGGACGGAGAAGGCUAUGUUGGCCGGGCGACGGUUGUCCCGGUUUAAGCGUGUAGGCUGGUUUUCCAGGCAAAUCCGGAAAAUCAAGGCUGAGGCGUGAUGACGAGGCACUACGGUGCUGAAGCGACAAAUGCCCUGCUUCCAGGAAAAGCCUCUAAGCAUCAGGUAACAUCAAAUCGUACCCCAAACCGACACAGGUGGUCAGGUAGAGAAUACCAAGGCGCUUGAGAGAACUCGGGUGAAGGAACUAGGCAAAAUGGUGCCGUAACUUCGGGAGAAGGCACGCUGAUAUGUAGGUGAAGCGACUUGCUCGUGGAGCUGAAAUCAGUCGAAGAUACCAGCUGGCUGCAACUGUUUAUUAAAAACACAGCACUGUGCAAACACGAAAGUGGACGUAUACGGUGUGACGCCUGCCCGGUGCCGGAAGGUUAAUUGAUGGGGUUAGCGGUAACGCGAAGCUCUUGAUCGAAGCCCCGGUAAACGGCGGCCGUAACUAUAACGGUCCUAAGGUAGCGAAAUUCCUUGUCGGGUAAGUUCCGACCUGCACGAAUGGCGUAAUGAUGGCCAGGCUGUCUCCACCCGAGACUCAGUGAAAUUGAACUCGCUGUGAAGAUGCAGUGUACCCGCGGCAAGACGGAAAGACCCCGUGAACCUUUACUAUAGCUUGACACUGAACAUUGAGCCUUGAUGUGUAGGAUAGGUGGGAGGCUUUGAAGUGUGGACGCCAGUCUGCAUGGAGCCGACCUUGAAAUACCACCCUUUAAUGUUUGAUGUUCUAACGUGGGCCCCUUACCGGGGUUGCGGACAGUGUCUGGUGGGUAGUUUGACUGGGGCGGUCUCCUCCUAAAGAGUAACGGAGGAGCACGAAGGUUGGCUAAUCCUGGUCGGACAUCAGGAGGUUAGUGCAAUGGCAUAAGCCAGCUUGACUGCGAGCGUGACGGCGCGAGCAGGUGCGAAAGCAGGUCAUAGUGAUCCGGUGGUUCUGAAUGGAAGGGCCAUCGCUCAACGGAUAAAAGGUACUCCGGGGAUAACAGGCUGAUACCGCCCAAGAGUUCAUAUCGACGGCGGUGUUUGGCACCUCGAUGUCGGCUCAUCACAUCCUGGGGCUGAAGUAGGUCCCAAGGGUAUGGCUGUUCGCCAUUUAAAGUGGUACGCGAGCUGGGUUUAGAACGUCGUGAGACAGUUCGGUCCCUAUCUGCCGUGGGCGCUGGAGAACUGAGGGGGGCUGCUCCUAGUACGAGAGGACCGGAGUGGACGCAUCACUGGUGUUCGGGUUGUCAUGCCAAUGGCACUGCCCGGUAGCUAAAUGCGGAAGAGAUAAGUGCUGAAAGCAUCUAAGCACGAAACUUGCCCCGAGAUGAGUUCUCCCUGACUCCUUGAGAGUCCUGAAGGAACGUUGAAGACGACGACGUUGAUAGGCCGGGUGUGUAAGCGCAGCGAUGCGUUGAGCUAACCGGUACUAAUGAACCGUGAGGCUUAACCUU
Molecule: ribosomal RNA, 1783 nt
Filed under: Escherichia coli KTE216
Lineage: Bacteria; Pseudomonadati; Pseudomonadota; Gammaproteobacteria; Enterobacterales; Enterobacteriaceae
Also listed under: 1 other name
Description: bacterial LSU rRNA
Rfam family: Bacterial large subunit ribosomal RNA
Source: RNAcentral